Molecule: ribosomal RNA, 253 nt
Filed under: uncultured bacterium
Lineage: Bacteria
Description: partial 16S ribosomal RNA
Rfam family: Bacterial small subunit ribosomal RNA
Source: RNAcentral
UACAGAGGGGGCAAGCGUUAUUCGGAAUUAUUGGGCGUAAAGGGCGCGUAGGCGGCUUUUCAAGUGACGGGUGAAAUCCCUCGGCUUAACCGAGGAACUGCCUGUCAGACUGGAAGGCUUGAGACCGGGAGAGGUGAGUGGAAUUCCCAGUGUAGCGGUGAAAUGCGUAGAUAUUGGGAGGAACACCGGUGGCGAAGGCGGCUCUCUGGACCGGUACUGACGCUGAGGCGCGAAAGCUAGGGGAGCAAACGGG